RNAcentral lists this long non-coding RNA (322 nucleotides) under Linum usitatissimum (flax). Its description in RNAcentral is "long non-coding RNA (LUSI_LNC006091)". The record is from RNAcentral. Lineage: Eukaryota; Viridiplantae; Streptophyta; Magnoliopsida; Malpighiales; Linaceae.
UCCGACGAACCCGACCCACCCGGUCCGAUUCCUUGGCAUUUUGUACCCAACGGUCCUCCGCAGAGAGCUGUGUUGCCAGAGAAGGACGAAACGGGGAAACCGGAAAGAGAUUUGGGGAUCUCGCCGGAGAGGCGGUUUCCGGAGACGUUGAAAUCCUGGAUACUGAGAGGGAGAUUGAAAUCCUGGAUACUAACCGGCAGGUCUAAAUUGGAGAUUAAACCGGAGAAAUUGUUGUCCUCGAGUCGGAGAGUCAACAGAUGAGUCAAAUGGUCUGCGGACGGGAUGGGGCCGGAGAAGUUGUUACGAGAGAGAUCCAGGCGGA